Eriocheir sinensis (Chinese mitten crab) is the source of this 1401-nucleotide long non-coding RNA. RefSeq lists it as uncharacterized. The transcript is spliced from 3 exons. Lineage: Eukaryota; Metazoa; Arthropoda; Malacostraca; Decapoda; Varunidae. The record is from RefSeq and is a predicted model, not a curated record.
CCGUAUCCUCGAGAGCUAUUAACUUUUACUCUUAAAGUUACUAUCAAAGUUAAUAGUUUCAAAUUAUUAAGAGUAAAAGCUAUCCUCGUCAACUUUGAGUGUAGGUAUUAGCAAAUCCUGGCUACUAUUAUCUUCUUCUUCUUCUUCUUUAUGGCGGGCUCGUUGCUAAGGACGCCUCCGUGCAAAACGUAAACAUCCGACAUGAAUUAAGUAUAUAUUUCAAAAGAAAAAUAAAGAAAAGAUGUAUAAAUGUACAACAGAAACAUAAUAAAUGGCAAACACAAGAAAAUACUGAGUUUUGUGGCAGAUAGAAGCAGCCUCAAAGGCUGUUUUUACUCCGUCACUCGUCAAUACCCGUAUCUCCCCGCCUGCGUCACGACUUGCUCUGCUGAAAUUACCGCACCAUAACCACGUCAUCUGCCCCAAUGAUCUACGGGCCGGAGAACCAGCGCAGAAAAGGAGUAAGUUUAAUUGGUCGCCAGAUGAAACGGUCUUCUUACAUCAAAUUCAAGAAAAAAUACGUAUAAUCAGAGGGUGUUAUGGGAAGAGUAUCACCCCUGAGGAUAAGAAGAGCGUGGACUGAAGUGGCAGAAGCUGUAACAAGUGCCUUCCCUGGGAGUGGACCCCGUACGCAGGAUGACUGUGAGAGGCGUUGGUACAACGUACAACAAAAAUCAAAGCCUUGCAUUGCCAAGUGCAAGAAUGAGCAGCGGCAGACUGCCACUGCUUCAUCAUCUGCUGGCCCUAUGACACCAGCCACUGUUUCAUCAUCUGCUGGCCCUAUGACACCAGCCACUGCUUCAUCAUCUGCUGGCCCAAUGACACCUGCCACUGCAAGGGAUGACAAUGAAGCUGCUCCACCAGUCACCACCUACUUCAUCGGAGUUAAGAGAUGCCUUUCAUAGGGCAGCAGUAUAAUUUUUUGAUGCUGGGGCUGAAUAUUACUGCCUCAAGGCUAUGAUUUUGUCACUUUUUUUUUUUAUUACUGAGGAGGUUAGGGUGGAAGGGGUGAAAAAUAAUUUGUGCUGUUUUUCGACAGAAAUGAUUAGCAAAUUCAUUCAAAGCACAAAAUUUACCGGAAAAAAAAUUGUGUGCCAUUGUGAGUGGGUUCACUUGAGAUUGGGCUCCAAUACGCCUCCGUGGUCUAGUGGUCAGCAUGCCUGGCUUCUACGCGGGCCCGGGUUCGAAUCCCGGCCUGGGCAGUCGGCGUGCAGCUCACCCAGCUGAUCAUCCUCCCUCUCGGGCUGGUCGAUAAAUGACUACCUGGGGAAACUGUGGUAGCCCGGAUGUCACACUGGCCCUGUGUCCCGGGGUAAUGGGCUCCCUCUCACCACAGGCUCAAGGCCCAAUGUUACGGAGAUGAGCACCGAGGCCACGCGCUGCUGUAGCGUAUGCCCCAAC